This 253-nucleotide ribosomal RNA is filed under the name uncultured bacterium. Its description in RNAcentral is "partial 16S ribosomal RNA". It matches the Rfam family "Bacterial small subunit ribosomal RNA", at positions 524 to 776 of the family's 1533-position model. The record is from RNAcentral.
UACGGAGGAUCCAAGCGUUAUCCGGAUUUAUUGGGCGUAAAGGGCGCGUAGGCGGGAUGGCAAGUCGGUCGUGAAAUCCCUCGGCUCAACUGAGGAACGUCGAUCGAUACUGCCGUUCUUGAGGAUUGCAGAGGAGACUGGAAUUCCCGGUGUAGCGGUGAAAUGUGUAGAGAUCGGGAGGAACACCGGUGGCGAAGGCGGGUCUCUGGGCAAUUCCUGACGCUGAGGUGCGAAAGCGUGGGGAGCAAACGGG